GACGAACGCUGGCGGCGUGCCUAAUACAUGCAAGUAGAACGCUGAAGGAGGAGCUUGCUCUUCUGGAUGAGUUGCGAACGGGUGAGUAACGCGUAGGUAACCUGCCUGGUAGCGGGGGAUAACUAUUGGAAACGAUAGCUAAUACCGCAUAACAGUAGAUGUUGCAUGACAUUUACUUAAAAGGUGCAAUUGCAUCACUACCAGAUGGACCUGCGUUGUAUUAGCUAGUUGGUGGGGUAACGGCUCACCAAGGCGACGAUACAUAGCCGACCUGAGAGGGUGAUCGGCCACACUGGGACUGAGACACGGCCCAGACUACUACGGGAGGCAGCAGUAGGGAAUCUUCGGCAAUGGACGGAAGUCUGACCGAGCAACGCCGCGUGAGUGAAGAAGGUUUUCGGAUCGUAAAGCUCUGUUGUAAGAGAAGAACGAGUGUGAGAGUGGAAAGUUCACACUGUGACGGUAUCUGACCAGAAAGGGACGGCUAACUACGUG
This 495-nucleotide ribosomal RNA is filed under the name uncultured bacterium. RNAcentral describes it as "partial 16S ribosomal RNA". It matches the Rfam family "Bacterial small subunit ribosomal RNA", at positions 28 to 507 of the family's 1533-position model. The record is from RNAcentral.